GGCUUUGUGCAGUGGCAUUAUUGUACCCAAUGAGGUUAAUCCGAGGUGCAAUUACUGCGAAUUGAAAACUAGGCACACAGUCAUUGUGGGUUUCUAUAUAAGAUUCCUUUUAAAAG
This 116-nucleotide small nuclear RNA is filed under the name Chinchilla lanigera (long-tailed chinchilla). RNAcentral describes it as "U4 spliceosomal RNA (ENSCLAG00000020684.1)". It matches the Rfam family "U4 spliceosomal RNA". From Rfam's summary of the family: U4 small nuclear RNA (U4 snRNA) is a component of the major U2-dependent spliceosome. The structure of U4 snRNA from yeast and human has been reported. U4 snRNA presents a k-turn RNA motif in the 5p-SL related to recognition of Snu13 protein. Lineage: Eukaryota; Metazoa; Chordata; Mammalia; Rodentia; Chinchillidae. The record is from RNAcentral.